UUAUGGCCUGGCAGCCCAUGACACCCCAGCGCUUUGGCCAGGAGCAGGGCACCUCACAGGCAGUGGGGCAGGCCCAGCGCUAGACAUGGGGCACUUCCUUGGGGACAGACAGGGACAUGGGCCCACCGUGGGUCCCACAGGCAGGUGGAGUUGCAUCCUACAGACAUCUCUACAACCUCCCAGAAGGUGAUGUGACAAAUGCAGGAGUCAGAUGACUACGUGGUAGAUAUUUGGGCAAAGGAAGAAGAAAGUUUCCUGUCUGAUUAGAGCAUUGUUCUGCUGCAUAUGCCUUCUUAUGUUUUGUCAAGGACACAUAAGUCUGGUCUUCAGAAGGGUGAUAGCAAAAAAUGAAUAACUGCAUCUUCUCCUGCCCAUAUACCAUUGCUUCAGAAACGUUCCCACACCUCUCCAUGUGCAAAAAUCUUACAGCAGCCUCAAGAGGAGAGGAUAGAGUGUUUCAAAGGCCCUUCAGACUGUUAUUCUUUGGGAUAAGAUAUACCUCAAGCAGGAAUAUAAACAACACUUCAAGUUACUGUUUCUCAAAGGGAAGUACAUUAUUGACAAGAUUAGGGCUGUGACUGGGUGAUAAGUGGGUUGAUAUUGUUAAAGGCUGGUUAUAAAGUGUUUUCUUGAAAUAGCAA
Long non-coding RNA from Gallus gallus (chicken), 641 nucleotides. RefSeq lists it as uncharacterized. NCBI's taxonomy places the organism in Eukaryota, Metazoa, Chordata, Aves, Galliformes, Phasianidae. The record is from RefSeq and is a predicted model, not a curated record. The transcript is spliced from 2 exons.